CCCAUGUGCACAUAUUUAGAAAGAAUUCCUCACAAAUCACUCAGCUGAAAGUGAUUUCCCCCGAGGAGGGAUGAGAGAACAAACACGUGCCAGCUGUGAGCCGCAGUGUUCACUGCACUCCUGGAAGGUACUCGGGUACCACGGAGCUGUGAGCAGCAGAGGAGUCGAGGUGGGACACAAUUAUCCAUCUACAUUAAAUUAAUUUUCACUCUGUUUUCCUAUCAGGCUCACUACUGCAAAAACAGAAGGGAUGAGGUUCCAUGGAGGUGGUUUACAAGGUGUGUUUGAAGCCUGGGACCAAUAUCCAUAUCACUCCUAUAGCUCCAGAGCUGAGAAACUGCUGUGGAGGGCAGCACACCUCUCCCUCAGACGGCAGAGCACUGGGGCGUUCCCAUCCCCAACCAGCCACCUGAACAGCUCCACACAAUCACAGAGUCGGCUGAGGUGGAAGAAACCCACAAGGAUCAUCGAGCCCAACUCCUGGCCCUGCACAGAACCAUCCCCAAGAGUGACACCAUGUGCCUGGGAUUGUUGUCCAAACACUCUGGCAGCCUUGGGGCUGUGACCAUUCCCUGGGGACCCUGUUCCAGUGCCCCAACACUCCCUGGGUGAAGAACUUCUUUCCAGCAUCCACCUAAACCUCCCCUGACACAGCCCCAGCCAUUCCCUCGAGUCCUGUCACUGUCACCACAGAGACGAGAUCAGUGUCUGCCCCUCCUCUUCCCCUCACAAGGAGGUUGUAGACUGUGAGGAGUGUCUCCUCAGUCUCCUCCUGUCCAGCUGAACAGACCAAGUGCCCUCACCUGCUCCUCAUACACCUUCCCCCAAGGCCCUUCACCAUCCUAAAGGACACAAAGCACAUCGGACACAUGACUCAGGACACUCAGGAGAGAGGAGCAGCUCCUCUGAAAUCAGUGACAUGAAGUCAGUGAGAGACACAAACCAGAGCCCCUGCGUGCUGAUAGAAGCAGCAGAAAUUCCUAAAUUAUGUUUUUUAAAGCCCAACAAAUAUUUUGUCUGCAUUUCAUUUCACACAGGAGCACUGAAUAAACCUGAUUUUCAAUACAGAGCAGAAACAGCCUCAGUCGUGCUACAAGGGGAUGAAAUGGCUUUGUUGUUGUCCCCAGGAUUCCUUUGUUCCAGUAAGGAAGGAACAGC
RNAcentral lists this long non-coding RNA (1158 nucleotides) under Corvus moneduloides (New Caledonian crow). RNAcentral describes it as "lncRNA (ENSCMUG00000019277.1)". The record is from RNAcentral. Lineage: Eukaryota; Metazoa; Chordata; Aves; Passeriformes; Corvidae.